CUUCGUAUGAAAAAUAGAGACAGAGAAGCCUUGUGAGAGAUGGAAGUAGGGGACGGAGAAAGGGUGGUGGUGGUUAUCGGCAUCAGUGGUAGGAGUGGUCGUGCGAUUCAGAUGUGAUGGAGUGGGGGUCAGAGAGAGAGAACACUUGCGUUGGAUGGCGGUCGGUUGCAUCUCGGAUGGUUUGCAGUUGUUGGUGGCGGUGAUUUCUGGUGCUGGUGCGGGGAGAUGGAGCAGACAUGGAUUUGGAAG
Long non-coding RNA from Rhododendron vialii, 249 nucleotides. RefSeq lists it as uncharacterized. Lineage: Eukaryota; Viridiplantae; Streptophyta; Magnoliopsida; Ericales; Ericaceae. The transcript has 2 exons. The record is from RefSeq and is a predicted model, not a curated record.